AAGUCGUAACAAGGUUUCCGUAGGUGAACCUGCGGAAGGAUCAUUAACACGUUAUCCAUACGUUAACCAAUGAGAAUCGUUUUCACCCUCCCUUCACGGAGAAUGAGCGGGGUUGAUAGAGGUAUUGAAAGGGAUUGCUUCGGUGAUCUGCCUCUGUUGACUAUUUUUGCAUAACAGAAAUGUUUGUGAAGACGCUGUAUUUCUAGUGGAGAUUAAUCUUGAUCAGAGCUCGCCUUUCUUGAGAGCUGAUUGGGAACUAUAUUAACUUAUUUCACCUUUUUUGCUAGUUGACUUUUAUAUGUUGAGUACUAUACAUUGUAUUUUAUUCACACGUUUAUUAUUUGAACGUUAAAUUUACAACUCUUAGCAAUGGAUAUCUUGGUUCUC
This 387-nucleotide unclassified non-coding RNA is filed under the name fungal sp. Its description in RNAcentral is "partial internal transcribed spacer region". The stretch from base 1 to 46 matches the Rfam family "Eukaryotic small subunit ribosomal RNA", at positions 1786 to 1831 of the family's 1831-position model. Lineage: Eukaryota; Fungi. The record is from RNAcentral.